GAUGAACGCUAGCGAUAGGCUUAACACAUGCAAGUCGAGGGGCAGCACAAGGUAGCUUGCUAUCUGGGUGGCGACCGGCGCACGGGUGCGUAACGCGUAUGCAACCUGCCCUAUACAGGAGGAUAACCCGUCGAAAGACGGACUAAUACUGCGUAUGCUCACAACUUGGCAUCAAGUGGUGAGGAAAGAAAUUCGGUAUAGGAUAGGCAUGCGUCCCAUUAGCUUGUUGGUGAGGUAACGGCUCACCAAGGCAACGAUGGGUAGGGGAACUGAGAGGUUUAUCCCCCACACUGGUACUGAGACACGGACCAGACUCCUACGGGAGGCAGCAGUGAGGAAUAUUGGUCAAUGGGCGCGAGCCUGAACCAGCCAAGUCGCGUGAAGGAUGACUGUCUUAUGGAUUGUAAACUUCUUUUAUACGGGAAUAACAAGAGUCACGUGUGACUCCCUGCAUGUACCGUAUGAAUAAGCAUCGGCGAACUCCGU
Molecule: ribosomal RNA, 486 nt
Filed under: uncultured bacterium
Lineage: Bacteria
Description: partial 16S ribosomal RNA
Rfam family: Bacterial small subunit ribosomal RNA
Source: RNAcentral